This 503-nucleotide ribosomal RNA is filed under the name uncultured bacterium. RNAcentral describes it as "partial 16S ribosomal RNA". It matches the Rfam family "Bacterial small subunit ribosomal RNA", at positions 30 to 523 of the family's 1533-position model. The record is from RNAcentral.
AUUGAACGCUGGCGGCAGGCUUAACACAUGCAAGUCGAGCGGAGUGAUGGUGCUUGCACUAUCACUUAGCGGCGGACGGGUGAGUAAUGCUUAGGACUCUGCCUAUGAGUGGGGGACAACAUCUCGAAAGGGAUGCUAAUACCGCAUACGUCCUACGGGAAAAAGCAGGGGACCACUUGUGACCUUGCGCUAAUAGAUGAGCCUAAGUCGGAUUAGCUCGUUGGUGGUGUAAAGGCCUACCAAGGCGUCGAUCUGUAGCGGGUCUGAGAGGAGGGUCCGCCACACUGGGACUGAGACACGGCCCAGACUCCUACAGGAGGCAGCAGUGGGGAAUAUUGGACAAUGGGGGUAACCCUGAUCCAGCCAUGCCGCGUGUGUGAAGAAAGCCUUAUGGUUGUAAAGCACUUUAAGCGAGGAGGAGGCUAUUUUGGUUAAUACCCAAGAUGAGUGGACGUUACUCGCAGAAUAAGCACCGGCUAACUCUGUGCCAGCCGCCGCGGUAA